This 67-nucleotide non-coding RNA is filed under the name unclassified sequences. RNAcentral's name for it is "RAGATH-18 RNA". It matches the Rfam family "RAGATH-18 RNA". Rfam says of the family: Actinobacteria, Firmicutes, Fusobacteria, Thermotogae (1 example). Nearby to self-cleaving ribozyme genes The record is from Rfam by way of RNAcentral.
GCUGUGGAGAGCAAAAACAAAUACGAGUAGAUAUUUUUUAUCAAAAGUAUGUUCGUUGAAGCAGCAA